RNAcentral lists this long non-coding RNA (1388 nucleotides) under Physcomitrium patens. RNAcentral's name for it is "long non-coding RNA (PPAT_LNC004153)". Lineage: Eukaryota; Viridiplantae; Streptophyta; Bryopsida; Funariales; Funariaceae. The record is from RNAcentral.
GACAUUGGAGUAUUAGCAUAAAACAAUUACUGUUACCCAAAUAUUAUAGAAUUGCAACUUCUAAGUCAGUUAAGAUAGCCUAAGUCACAAGUACUACUUAAUGAUUUCGGUCUGGAAACACUCAGUUUGCAUCAAUUUUGUUUAUAUAAGAUUAAUUCGAAACAAAAACCUUUAUGUUUUUCUAAUUAACCAAGUUGACACCCGUCGUUACGUCACCGAAUAUACUGGAAAUGACUCUUCUUGACCACGUUCGUGAUAACCAGGAAUGAAUCUUAGGUGUUUCAAGUUCGUUCAAUGUUCACCAUACCUAGCCAACCAUCUGCCAUGUAACACUUCUGUGGUGAUGAGUUGCUUACGUAAACCCCGUCACUAACGAAGAGCUUUGAGAUCGUUUUCUAGAGGAUUGAAACAUGCCCGAAAAUCAUUCAACCCAGGUUUAACCGAUUAGAAACUGAGUUAACACUAUAUUGCAAACAGAGAUUCUCAGCGGAAUUUUUAUGUAUCAAGUGAAGGACCCAAGUGAAUGCUUGUCAAAGAGCUUCCAGUGUUUCACGUCAUCGAAAUUGCUUUACUUUUCGGACGAGAUCACUCACUAUUUUGGAGAUUCGAUCUUGGGGAGGACCCAUAUGAACUUUCCUCGAUUCGUCUACAACAAUCAACAUUGUCUUUGUAUCGGUCUUGAUCAAAGGGCCAUUAGCAUAUCAACAUCGAUGUAUCGUCAAGGGCAGCAAUCACACUUUCAUAAGUUUGCCUCGCCAGUAGCUUGUGGACAGGAUUCCGAUGAAGAUCUUUACAACGAGGAUUAGUUGUAGUCAGAAUCGCAAUGACUAUUUCAGCCACCAAACUUUACGUCUCCUUCAUCACAAGGCUGCAAGCUUGCUGCACAACAGCAGAAUAUUGAGCUUAUUUUCUGAAUGCACUGUACGAAGACACCUCUAAAUUUCUCUAUUGCAAACGCUGCAAAAGAUAAAACAAAGGUGCACCAAAAACCAUCAAAAUACAUCUUGCAAACAACCAAUUUAAAGAUGCACGCUAAAUUGAUUGAAAUUCUACAAAAUGAAAGAUUACAGCCGAUCAUUAAAUUUUUCAUUUAACUUAAAGCUUUCAAGCUAUUGAAAUGUAAUGUGGUUAACAAGAGAUAUAACUCAAUUCAAUUUCUUUUUAUUUAUACAUCUAUAAAAUACAUCGGAAGUGCUCAUCUUGUUUACCUUGGGAAUUCUUAGUGGUUGAAUAUCCUGAUUGUUGUUGAAGAUCUAGUUGCUGCCCUAUUACGUUUCCUAUCACGCCUUUAUUCCCAUACAAUUGAACUCCAUGGAAGAUUUUGGGGAUUUUCAAGUUAAUAACUAUGUUAUGUCCUAUGAUUCUUGUACAAAUUACUAAAAUAGUUG